GUUGGAAUAGCUCAGUUGGUUAGAGCGUGUGACUGUUAACCGCAAGCUCAAAGGUUCAAUCCCUUCUUCUAGCG
This 74-nucleotide transfer RNA is filed under the name Erythranthe guttata (spotted monkey flower). Its description in RNAcentral is "Mimulus guttatus (spotted monkey flower) tRNA". It matches the Rfam family "tRNA". From Rfam's summary of the family: Transfer RNA (tRNA) molecules are approximately 80 nucleotides in length. The record is from Rfam by way of RNAcentral. Lineage: Eukaryota; Viridiplantae; Streptophyta; Magnoliopsida; Lamiales; Phrymaceae.